UCCGGUGCUAUGGAAUUUGGUUUUGCUCGUCGUGGAUCUUCAUUGUUACUUGCGUACGAUUUCUGCACUUUCUGUUCUCCAUAUUUCCAUAAAAAGAGUAGCAUAUUAUCAAUGUUGUUCAGCAGUAGCUUCUUCUACAUCCACCUGGAAAGUCAGAAUUGGUCAAUGCUAAUCACAGAGAUACAACAAAACGAAAAAGGAUAACUCAUCUCUUUUAGCAAAUCAAACAGGUCUUCUUCCUGUUUUAAAUUAUCCCAAACAUAUUAUAUUUUUGUUGCAACAAUGAAUCAACUGUUGGGAUAAAUUUCUACAUGAGAAAGACCCUGUGUGAUAAUUUCCAAUGGAUGAACCAUCCGUUGCAAUAUAUGAAUCAUCUGUUGCAGUAGAUAGGUUGUCUAUUGGUACAAAUAAAAGUUGUACGAAGAGCUGUUUGAUUUGGUAAAACAGAUGAGACAUAUGUUGCACCAGAUAAAGUAUCUGGUGCAACAGGUUAGUCAACUGUUGCAACAGAUGUAUAUAUCUAUUUGAUAAUUUUUAGCAGAUGCGUCAUCUGUUAAAAUAGAUAUGUGUCUGUUUGUUUUGUCAGUUGGAAGACACAUAAUAUAUUCACCUUCUACAGCUCGUGCUUCUCUUCUUUGGACAUUAUAUGUUGCUCAGUGCAACACGCAGACAGAGGAGUUGCAAUUUUGUUUUUUUGGAUGCCUGAUAAUGCCCUAGAAAUCACUCUCUUUCUCAUCUUAGCCCUAAUCUCUAAUGGAGCGGAUGGAAAUAAAAUCCUCUUUGAUGGAAUGAGGCCUCUCUUAGAUAUCAAUUCCUUUACAAAAGUAGUUAAUGCAUUAAUAGCAUUAAUCACUACAUCAUGUUUCGCCCUGCAGUCUUAACAUUUGCAUACAGAACAUUCGCUGGGAGAGGCAAAAUCUGUAUAACCAGUAUGAUCAUACUCAUAAUGGUUUGCUUUAAAUACUGUAAGAGGAGCAUCAUUAGCACCAACAGCAACACCACUACCACCACCAACAGCUCCAUCAACAACAACAAGCCCACCCUUAAAAUUGUUUAUCUUGAAAUGGUUGUUGCUCCAAACAAUUCUAUUUUUAUUCUAUCGAUGACAUUAGGGUCCGAUAAAGUUUGCACAGACCGUAAAGUAAGAAAAAAUAGCAUCUUCAACUCUUGAUUGAUCGAAACUAGCGAUGGAUGCACAUUCUAACAUAAAUCAUUACAUAUAUUAGAAUGAUGAUUAGAACAUUCAAACAAAAUAUCAAUUAAAAGAAAAAAUUAAUUAUAAUUAUACUUACUGCAUCCUUCGGGGGGUUGAAGAGAUCAAGAAAUUUUGUAUUUUUAUGAGUUCUGGCCGAUAACCAUCUCAAGAUUCUUGGACAGGAA
This 1380-nucleotide long non-coding RNA is filed under the name Capsicum annuum. RNAcentral describes it as "long non-coding RNA (CANN_LNC016303)". The record is from RNAcentral. Lineage: Eukaryota; Viridiplantae; Streptophyta; Magnoliopsida; Solanales; Solanaceae.